CUUGCAGCUGAGGCAGCGCGAUUACUCCGCUGCCAAAACUCGUUUAGUUGCAGGUAUUUUCACUGAAACGGAAGAAGAAUCCUGCUAAAUAUAUUCGACCUUCUCCGAGACACGUCACCAAGAACCUUCUGGAAAAUGAAGUGUGGCUCCUCUUAGCAAUGCUCUACUCACCCAGCAGGUCUCCGGAGAAGUUAACAGGCAGGACGAUGCCCACUGACAGCACGCCCACCACCACCAGCAGGCCGAUGAUGUGCCGCUGGAAGGAGAGUGUCAAGAAAGCGUGUGGAUGAAGCUUCUGCAGAUCCUUUCUGCCUGCCCAGAGGAGCAAGGUUACAGUGGAAUGGGGAAGAGAAGUGAAACCUCAAGGCCUGGCAGUGAAAGGCACAAAGAAAUGAGUCAGGAACAUGAGUCAGGAGGCACAACAGGUCUGCGAGGAGAUUUCUGCAG
This is a long non-coding RNA of Tachysurus fulvidraco (yellow catfish), 447 nucleotides long. RefSeq lists it as uncharacterized. The record is from RefSeq and is a predicted model, not a curated record. The transcript is spliced from 3 exons. NCBI's taxonomy places the organism in Eukaryota, Metazoa, Chordata, Actinopteri, Siluriformes, Bagridae.